AUGAUGAGUGACAAAUACUGGGGCGAGCCGGCUCUGCCAGGGAAACUUCAAAAUGAGCCGAGCAAACACCGGGAGCUUUCUUCAAUCUGUCUCUCUUGGCCUAUUUCACUCAAACACAGUUGGAAGAUUCACUGGAUUUUCCUUCACAGUUGUGACAUGCUUUUCAUUCCUACAAAGUUCACAAAGUGGCUCAUGCUUUGAUGCCAUGAAUUGACAAAAAGGCUUCGGUCCAUCCAAAUGCAGAACCUGCUGUUUGUAUCCAUUCAGUUACAAACCAAUGAAGUAAAAGCUGAUUGCAAAAUCCCAGUCACUGCAGAGGCAUUCGCGAGAUACUGACAUUGUGCAGCCAAAGCAAUGCUGAACCUGCUCUGUACUUUGAAAACCAGACUCUCCUAAAGUCAUUCCCAGCUGUCCUAACAGAAGUGGACCCAUUGCUGAAUGAAUACAAGGAUUACCUCCAUCUGCUCAUUGGCUUUCCAGGUGAUACAAAGUAAAUAUUCUGGAAAGAAAAACCAAAAAACAAAAACCCCAAAGUUGCUCUGUGUUAGCGAGUUUCAG
RNAcentral lists this long non-coding RNA (558 nucleotides) under Struthio camelus australis. RNAcentral describes it as "lncRNA (ENSSCUG00000002698.1)". The record is from RNAcentral. Lineage: Eukaryota; Metazoa; Chordata; Aves; Struthioniformes; Struthionidae.